RNAcentral lists this ribosomal RNA (503 nucleotides) under uncultured bacterium. Its description in RNAcentral is "partial 16S ribosomal RNA". It matches the Rfam family "Bacterial small subunit ribosomal RNA", at positions 28 to 523 of the family's 1533-position model. The record is from RNAcentral.
GAUGAACGCUAGCGGCAGGCCUAACACAUGCAAGUCGAGGGGUAGCAGGAUUAAGCUUGCUUAAUUGCCGACGACCGGCGCACGGGUGCGUAACGCGUAUGCAACCUACCUACAUCAGGGGGAUAGCCCUAGGAAACUGGGAUUAACACCGCAUAAUAUAAGCUACGGCAUCGUAGGUUAUUGAAAUAUUUAUAGGAUGUAGAUGGGCAUGCGUAGGAUUAGCUAGUUGGUAAGGUAACGGCUUACCAAGGCUACGAUCCUUAGGGGCUCUGAGAGGAGUAUCCCCCACACUGGCACUGAGAUACGGGCCAGACUCCUACGGGAGGCAGCAGUAGGGAAUAUUGGGCAAUGGAGGCAACUCUGACCCAACCAUGCCGCGUGCAGGAAGACGGUCCUCUGGAUUGUAAACUGCUUUUGAAUGGGAAGAAUGUGCUUCUUGCGAGGAGUAAUGACGGAACCAUUAGAAUAAGCCACGGCUAACUACGUGCCAGCAGCCGCAGUAA